This is a small nucleolar RNA of 78 nucleotides. Its record names the gene SNORD83. It matches the Rfam family "Small nucleolar RNA SNORD83". Rfam says of the family: U83 (SNORD83) and U84 (SNORD84) are members of the C/D class of snoRNA which contain the C (UGAUGA) and D (CUGA) box motifs. They act as guanine methylation guides but lack complementarity to ribosomal RNA. The record is from Ensembl.
GCCAAAUGAUGUUUAUAUUUUGGGAAGUGAGCACUUUGCGCAAUGAUGACCUUAAUCUAUCACCCUUGACUGAUGGCU